RNAcentral lists this long non-coding RNA (310 nucleotides) under Mytilus galloprovincialis (Mediterranean mussel). Lineage: Eukaryota; Metazoa; Mollusca; Bivalvia; Mytilida; Mytilidae. The record is from RNAcentral.
UGAAAUCAAUGGAAUUAUAACAAAACAAAUAUAUAUCUGAUAAACCUAUGAUAAAAUUAAAGUAAUAAAAAAUGAGUUUAAUAUUAUUCUAAUUUAUCUUGUCAGCUAGGUUAUUUCUCAGGAUUUAAAUCCUUUAAUAAGCCCCUCUAACAACUUUAGUUAUGGGAUACCAGUUAAAUGUACACAAAAAUGUAAAUUUUUCAUCAGCAGACAUUUUGCUAAAAGAUUGGACUUUCUUUCUUCCUCCCAAAAAAAAUUUAACACUUUAAGGCGAAAUUCAUCUUUUAACAGAGGGAAAUAAUCUUUUUUU